RNAcentral lists this long non-coding RNA (550 nucleotides) under Bos taurus (domestic cattle). RNAcentral describes it as "long non-coding RNA NONBTAT000552". The record is from RNAcentral. Lineage: Eukaryota; Metazoa; Chordata; Mammalia; Artiodactyla; Bovidae.
CUCCUUGUUCUUUCAUUUAAGCUCCUGGUUAAUGAAACUCCAGGCAGCCUGUGAUUAUUCACACAACUAUGCACAUUGUACUACCCUGAACGUGCAUUUCCUGUCACACACUUUGUCAUUUCCUUGGUUUUUUAAAUGAUGAAACAAACAACAGGAGAAAGAAUCAUCUAACAAAGCUCCCACUUCCACUCUAGCCAAAUACUGAGCUGUUUGCCUGUUCCCAGCCAGGUUGAUUAAGGUGUCAUCCCUCCUCUUCAAGUGGCCUGCAUGGGGCCAUGCAGUUGCGCACCCAGGGCAUUAGCAGCGAUGAGAGGUAUGAAGUGGGAUGGAGGCUGCAGAGACCUGUGGACCCACCGGUCAAGCACUGAAGGGAGAGCUCCAUGACAAGGACCGGCAAGCACAUCCAGGAGGGAUGUGGAGACAGCGAUGCUGCACACGGUUGAUGGAUCACUCCCAUUUAAAACACAAAAAUAAGGCAGCUCGCCAGAGCAGUCUGGGCCAGUUUCAUUAAAACCCUUCAGUCAUCAUGCUGCAACAUGUUAUUGUGCUG